UAGUUGUACGUCGUAGGCUACGACGGACGACGCUGGCGGCGUGGAUUAGGCAUGCAAGGUCGACGGUAGGGCUUUAUCGUAAGAUAGAGUUUGAGAGUGGCGAACGGGUGAGUAACACGUAGGAAUCUACCCUUAAGACGGGGACAACCCAGGGAAACUUGGGCUAAUACCGGAUGAGAGUGCGAGAGAUUGCAUUUAAAAGGAUGGCGAAAGUUGUCGCUUAGGGAUGAGCCUGCGGUCUAUUAGUUAGUUGGUGAGGUAAGAGCUCACCAAGGCGAUGAUAGAUAGGCGGCCUUAACGGGUGGUCGCCCACACUGGGGUUGAGAUACGGCCCAGACUCCUACGGGAGGCAGCAGUCGAGAAUAGUCUACAAUGGCCGGAAGGCUGAUAGUGCGACGCCGCGUGAACGAGGGAGCCCUUCGGGGUGUAAAGUUCUUUCUAUACGAGCAGUGCUAUAUAUAUGGAUAGUAUAUAUAGAGGGAUAGUAGUAUAGGAAUAAGCAACGGCUAACUCCGUG
This 517-nucleotide ribosomal RNA is filed under the name uncultured bacterium. Its description in RNAcentral is "bacterial SSU rRNA". It matches the Rfam family "Bacterial small subunit ribosomal RNA", at positions 1 to 507 of the family's 1533-position model. The record is from RNAcentral.